Molecule: ribosomal RNA, 208 nt
Filed under: uncultured bacterium
Lineage: Bacteria
Description: partial 16S ribosomal RNA
Rfam family: Bacterial small subunit ribosomal RNA
Source: RNAcentral
CGCGUAGGCGGUUACGCAAGUCGGAUGUGAAAAGUCAUGGCUCAACUGUGAUCGUGCAUCCGAAACUGCGUUGACUUGAGGUCGGUAGAGGCAAGUGGAACUAGCGGUGUAGCGGUGAAAUGCGCAGAUAUCGCUAGGAACGCCGGUGGCGAAGGCGACUUGCUGGGCCGUACCUGACGCUGAUGCGCGAAAGCUAGGGGAGCGAACC